UACGGAGGGUGCGAGGGUUACCCGGCUUUACUGGGCGUCAAGGGCGUGUAGGCGGUCUCUCAAGUCCGAUGCUAAAGACCGAAGCUCAACUUCGGGGGUGCGUUGGACACUGUGAGGCUAGACGGUCGGAGAGGGUAGCGGAAUUUCCGGAGUAGCGGUGAAAUGCGCAGAUACCGGAAGGAACGCCAAUAGCGAAAGCAGCUACCUGGACGAUUUGUGACGCUGAGGCGCGAAAGCGUGGGGAGCAAACCGG
This 253-nucleotide ribosomal RNA is filed under the name uncultured bacterium. RNAcentral describes it as "partial 16S ribosomal RNA". It matches the Rfam family "Bacterial small subunit ribosomal RNA", at positions 524 to 776 of the family's 1533-position model. The record is from RNAcentral.